Molecule: ribosomal RNA, 475 nt
Filed under: uncultured organism
Description: partial 16S ribosomal RNA
Rfam family: Bacterial small subunit ribosomal RNA
Source: RNAcentral
ACUCCUGCGGGAGGCAGCAGUGGGGAAUUUUGGACAAUGGGCGAAAGCCUGAUCCAGCAAUGCCGCGUGCAGGAUGAAGGCCUUCGGGUUGUAAACUGCUUUUGUACGGAACGAAAAAGCUCCUUCUAAUACAGGGGGCCCAUGACGGUACCGUAAGAAUAAGCACCGGCUAACUACGUGCCAGCAGCCGCGGUAAUACGUAGGGUGCGAGCGUUAAUCGGAAUUACUGGGCGUAAAGCGUGCGCAGGCGGUUAUGUAAGACAGAUGUGAAAUCCCCGGGCUCAACCUGGGAACUGCAUUUGUGACUGCAUGGCUAGAGUACGGUAGAGGGGGAUGGAAUUCCGCGUGUAGCAGUGAAAUGCGUAGAUAUGCGGAGGAACACCGAUGGCGAAGGCAAUCCCCUGGACCUGUACUGACGCUCAUGCACGAAAGCGUGGGGAGCAAACAGGAUUAGAUACCCCAGUAGUCCCAUGAU